AGGUUACUGCUAUCGAGGUUCGACUAAGCCAUGCGAGUCGAAUGUAGCAAUACAUGGCGUACUGCUCAGUAACACGUGGAUAACCUACCCUUGAGACGGGGAUAAACCCGGGAAACUGGGUAUAAUACCCGAUAGAUCUCGGACGCUGGAAUGCAUCGAGAUCGAAAGCUCCGGCGCUCAAGGAUGGAUCUGCGGCCUAUCAGGUAGUAGUGGGUGUAGCGUACCUACUAGCCUACGACGGGUACGGGUUGUGAGAGCAAGAGCCCGGAGAUGGAUUCUGAGACACGAAUCCAGGCCCUACGGGGUGCAGCAGGCGCGAAAACUUUACAAUGCUGGAAACAGCGAUAAGGGGACCUCGAGUGCCAGGUUACAAAUCUGGCUGUCGCGAUGCCUAAAACGCAUUGCAUAGCAAGGGCCGGGCAAGACCGGUGCCAGCCGCCGCGGUAACACCGGCGGCUCGAGUGGUAACCGUUAUUAUUGGGUCUAAAGGGUCUGUAGCCGGCCGGAUAAGUCUCUUGGGAAAUCUGGCAGCUUAACUGUCAGGCUUUCAGGAGAUACUGUCUGGCUCGAGGCCGGGAGAGGUGAGAGGUACUUCAGGGGUAGGGGUGAAAUCUUGUAAUCCUUGAAGGACCACCAGUGGCGAAGGCGUCUCACCAGAACGGACCUGACGGCAAGGGACGAAAGCUAGGGGCACGAACCGGAUUAGAUACCCGGGUAGUCCUAGCCGUAAACGAUACUCGCUAGGUGUCGGCCACGGUGCGACCGUUGUCGGUGCCGUAGGGAAGCCGUGAAGCGAGCCACCUGGGAAGUACGGCCGCAAGGCUGAAACUUAAAGGAAUUGGC
Molecule: ribosomal RNA, 843 nt
Filed under: uncultured archaeon
Lineage: Archaea
Description: bacterial SSU rRNA
Rfam family: Archaeal small subunit ribosomal RNA
Source: RNAcentral